UUUGAUAAUAAUAUAAAGUAGGGCCUGCCCACUGAGAUUUUAAAGGGCCGCAGUAUUUUGACUGUGCAAAGGUAGCAUAAUCAUUAGUUUUUUAAUUGAAAGCUUGUAUGAAUGGUUUGAUGAAAAAAUAACUUUCUAUAUUUAAAUUUUAUGAAAACUUUAUUUUUAAGUUAAAAAGCUUAAAUUUUUUUAAUAGACGAGAAGACCCUAUAGAGUUUUAUUAUAAUAAAUUUUUAAAUUUUAGGAAUUUAAAAAUUUUAAUUUUUUUAUAAUUUGGUUGGGGUGACUAAAAAAUUAAAAGAACUUUUUUUUAUUUUAUACAUAGAUUUAUGAAUAGUUGAUCCAUUUAAAUGAUUAAAAGAAUAAAUUACCUUAGGGAUAACAGCGUUAUUUUUUUUUAGAGUUCAAAUCGAAAAAAGAGAUUGCGACCUCGAUGUUGGAUUAAAGUUAAUUUUAGGUGUAGAAGCUUAAAAAUUUGGUCUGUUCGACCAUUAAAACUUUACA
Molecule: ribosomal RNA, 504 nt
Filed under: Coccinella miranda
Lineage: Eukaryota; Metazoa; Arthropoda; Insecta; Coleoptera; Coccinellidae
Description: partial large subunit ribosomal RNA
Rfam family: Bacterial large subunit ribosomal RNA
Source: RNAcentral